This 331-nucleotide ribosomal RNA is filed under the name uncultured bacterium. Its description in RNAcentral is "bacterial SSU rRNA". It matches the Rfam family "Bacterial small subunit ribosomal RNA", at positions 568 to 898 of the family's 1533-position model. The record is from RNAcentral.
CGCGUAGGCGGCCAUCUUUGUCAGGCGUGAAAGCCCUGGGCUCAACCUGGGAAUUGCACUUGGGACGGGGUGGCUUGAGAUCGGGAGAGGAGAGUGGAAUUCCCAGUGUAGAGGUGAAAUUCGUAGAUAUUGGGAAGAACACCGGUGGCGAAGGCGGCUCUCUGGACCGAUACUGACGCUGAGGCGCGAAAGCGUGGGGAGCAAACAGGAUUAGAUACCCUGGUAGUCCACGCUGUAAACGAUGUGUGCUAGACGUUGGGGAGCCUAGCUCUUCGGUGUCGCAGCUAACGCGGUAAGCACACCGCCUGGGGAGUACGGCCGCAAGGUUAAA